AUGGCGACUCUGUUCAGUCCAUCCCGCGAGCGUGCGAUUGCACUUCGCUAAGUCGUUUUCUCAUUUUUCGAGUUACGACAGAUUCUGACUCUGCUAGGGACGUGCUCCAUGUAAGAGAGAGUCAAGCUUAAUUUAGUUAACUUUACGAUGAAUGUUGUCUUUUCUUAUUUGUUUUCUUUAUGUUUUCUCACUUCAUUUCUAUAUGUUUGCUUAUUUUCU
Molecule: long non-coding RNA, 219 nt
Filed under: Lathyrus oleraceus (garden pea)
Lineage: Eukaryota; Viridiplantae; Streptophyta; Magnoliopsida; Fabales; Fabaceae
Description: Pisum sativum (pea) long non-coding RNA (PSAT_LNC007904)
Source: RNAcentral